RNAcentral lists this transfer RNA (74 nucleotides) under Candidatus Woesearchaeota archaeon. It matches the Rfam family "tRNA". From Rfam's summary of the family: Transfer RNA (tRNA) molecules are approximately 80 nucleotides in length. The record is from Rfam by way of RNAcentral. Lineage: Archaea; Nanobdellati; Candidatus Woesearchaeota.
GGGGCUGUAGUGUAACUUGGUUAUCACCCAUGGUUCGGGGCCAUGUAAUCGGAGUUCAAAUCUUCGCAGCCCCA